GACGUAGGGCGCGAGCGUUGUCCGGAUUUAUUGGGCGUAAAGAGCUCGUAGGCGGCUUGUUGCGUCGACCGUGAAAACCCGGGGCUCAACUUCGGGCUUGCGGUCGAUACGGGCGGGCUAGAGUUCGGUAGGGGAGACUGGAAUUCCUGGUGUAGCGGUGAAAUGCGCAGAUAUCAGGAGGAACACCCGUGGCUAAGGCGGCUCUCUAGUACGGUACUGACGCUGAGACGCGAAAGCGUGGGGAGCGAACAGG
This 253-nucleotide ribosomal RNA is filed under the name uncultured bacterium. RNAcentral describes it as "partial 16S ribosomal RNA". It matches the Rfam family "Bacterial small subunit ribosomal RNA", at positions 524 to 776 of the family's 1533-position model. The record is from RNAcentral.